RNAcentral lists this ribosomal RNA (406 nucleotides) under uncultured bacterium. RNAcentral describes it as "partial 16S ribosomal RNA". It matches the Rfam family "Bacterial small subunit ribosomal RNA", at positions 30 to 526 of the family's 1533-position model. The record is from RNAcentral.
AUUGAACGCUGGCGGCAGGCCUAACACAUGCAAGUCGAACGUGUGGCGGACGGGUGAGCAAUGUCUGGGAAACUGCCCGAUGGAGGGGGAUAACUACUUGAAACGGUAGCUAAUACCGCAUACCAUAGGAUGUGCCAACAUGGGAUUAGCUAGUAGGUGGGGUAACGGCUAACCAAGGCGACGAUCCCUAGCUGGUCUGAGAGGAUGACCAGCCACAUUGGAACUGAGACACGGUCCAGACUCCUACGGGAGGCAGUAGUGGGGAAUAUUGGACAAUGGGCGAAAGCCUGAUCCAGCCAUGCCGCGUGUGUGAAGAAGGUCUUCGGAUUGUAAAGCACUUUAAGUUGGGAGGCGUUAACAACAGAAUAAGCACCGGCUAACUUCGUGCCAGCAGCCGCGGUAAUAC